RNAcentral lists this ribosomal RNA (409 nucleotides) under bacterium. RNAcentral's name for it is "partial 16S ribosomal RNA". It matches the Rfam family "Bacterial small subunit ribosomal RNA", at positions 355 to 776 of the family's 1533-position model. The record is from RNAcentral.
UGGGGAAUAUUGCACAAUGGGCGAAAGCCUGAUGCAGCGACGCCGCGUGAGGGAUGACGGCCUUCGGGUUGUAAACCUCUUUCAGUAGGGACGAAGCGCAAGUGACGGUACCUGCAGAAGAAGCACCGGCUAACUACGUGCCAGCAGCCGCGGUAAUACGUAGGGUGCGAGCGUUGUCCGGAAUUACUGGGCGUAAAGAGCUCGUAGGCGGUUUGUCACGUCGUCUGUGAAAUCCUAGGGCUUAACCCUGGACGUGCAGGCGAUACGGGCUGACUUGAGUACUACAGGGGAGAAUGGAAUUUCUGGUGUAGCGGUGGAAUGCACAGAUAUCAGGAAGAACACCGAUGGCGAAGGCAGGUCUCUGGGUAGUAACUGACGCUGAGGAGCGAAAGCAUGGGUAGCGAACAGG